AUUUAUUUAGUAUAGUAGUAUAUCUGACUUCCAAUCAGAAGGCCUGAGACCUCUCAGAAUAAGUA
This 65-nucleotide transfer RNA is filed under the name Perlesta teaysia. RNAcentral describes it as "tRNA-Gly". It matches the Rfam family "tRNA". Rfam says of the family: Transfer RNA (tRNA) molecules are approximately 80 nucleotides in length. Their secondary structure includes four short double-helical elements and three loops (D, anti-codon, and T loops). The record is from RNAcentral. Lineage: Eukaryota; Metazoa; Arthropoda; Insecta; Plecoptera; Perlidae.